AUACGUAGGUGGCAAGCGUUGUCCGGAAUUAUUGGGCGUAAAGCGCGCGCAGGCGGUCCUUUAAGUCUGAUGUGAAAGCCCACGGCUCAACCGUGGAGGGUCAUUGGAAACUGGGGGACUUGAGUGCAGAAGAGGAAAGUGGAAUUCCAAGUGUAGCGGUGAAAUGCGUAGAGAUUUGGAGGAACACCAGUGGCGAAGGAGACUUGCUGGUCUGUAACUGACGCUGAGGCGCGAAAGCGGGGGGAGCAAACAGGAUUAGAUACCCUGGUAGUCCACGCCGUAAACGAUGAGUGCUAAGUGUUAGGGGGUUUCCGCCCCUUAGUGCUGCAGCUAACGCAUUAAGCACUCCGCCUGGGGAGUACGGUCGCAAGACUGAAACUCAAAGGAAUUGACGGGG
RNAcentral lists this ribosomal RNA (397 nucleotides) under uncultured bacterium. RNAcentral's name for it is "partial 16S ribosomal RNA". It matches the Rfam family "Bacterial small subunit ribosomal RNA", at positions 523 to 918 of the family's 1533-position model. The record is from RNAcentral.